GUACUCGAGCGGCGAACGGGUGAGUAACACGUGAGCAACCUGCCCUAGGCUUUGGGAUAACCCUCGGAAACGGGGGCUAAUACCGAAUAGGACCACCGGUCGCAUGGUUGGUGGUGGAAAGUUUUUCGGCCUGGGAUGGGCUCGCGGCCUAUCAGCUUGUUGGUGGGGUGAUGGCCUACCAAGGCGACGACGGGUAGCCGGCCUGAGAGGGCGACCGGCCACACUGGGACUGAGACACGGCCCAGACUCCUACGGGAGGCAGCAGUGGGGAAUAUUGCACAAUGGGCGGAAGCCUGAUGCAGCGACGCCGCGUGAGGGAUGACGGCCUUCGGGUUGUAAACCUCUUUCAGCAGGGACGAAGCGUAAGUGACGGUACCUGCAGAAGAAGCACCGGCCAACUACGUGCCAGCAGCCGCGGUAAGACGUAGGGUGCGAGCGUUGUCCGGAUUUAUUGGGCGUAAAGAGCUCGUAGGCGGCUUGUCGCGUCGACUGUGAAAACCCGCAGCUCAACUGCGGGCCUGCAGUCGAUACGGGCAGGCUAGAGUUCGGUAGGGGAGACUGGAAUUCCUGGUGUAGCGGUGAAAUGCGCAGAUAUCAGGAGGAACACCGGUGGCGAAGGCGGGUCUCUGGGCCGAUACUGACGCUGAGGAGCGAAAGCGUGGGGAGCGAACAGGAUUAGAUACCCUGGUAGUCCACGCUGUAAACGUUGGGCGCUAG
This 717-nucleotide ribosomal RNA is filed under the name Micromonospora sp. RNAcentral's name for it is "bacterial SSU rRNA". It matches the Rfam family "Bacterial small subunit ribosomal RNA", at positions 87 to 819 of the family's 1533-position model. Lineage: Bacteria; Bacillati; Actinomycetota; Actinomycetes; Micromonosporales; Micromonosporaceae. The record is from RNAcentral.